Molecule: ribosomal RNA, 449 nt
Filed under: uncultured bacterium
Lineage: Bacteria
Description: partial 16S ribosomal RNA
Rfam family: Bacterial small subunit ribosomal RNA
Source: RNAcentral
AACGAACGCUGGCGGCAUGCCUAACACAUGCAAGUCGAACGAGACCUUCGGGUCUAGUGGCGCACGGGUGCGUAACGCGUGGGAGUCUGCCCUUGGGUUCGGGAUAACAGUUGGAAACGACUGCUAAUACCGGAUGAUGUCUUCGGACCAAAGAUUUAUCGCCCAAGGAUGAGCCCGCGUAGGAUUAGCUUGUUGGUGAGGUAAGAGCUCACCAAGGCGACGAUCCUUAGCUGGUCUGAGAGGAUGAUCAGCCACACUGGGACUGAGACACGGGCCAGACUCCUGCGGGAGGCAGCAGUGGGGAAUAUUGGACAAUGGGCGAAAGCCUGAUCCAGCAAUGCCGCGUGAGUGAUGAAGGCCUUAGGGUUGUAAAGCUCUUUUGCCCGGGAUGAUAAUGACAGUACCGGGAGAAUGAGCCCCGGCUAACUCCGUGCCAGCCGCCGCCGUAA